Long non-coding RNA from Hydractinia symbiolongicarpus, 655 nucleotides. RefSeq lists it as uncharacterized. The record is from RefSeq and is a predicted model, not a curated record. NCBI's taxonomy places the organism in Eukaryota, Metazoa, Cnidaria, Hydrozoa, Anthoathecata, Hydractiniidae. The transcript has 2 exons.
CCCGCCGAAGGGGCGCACAUUUAGUGGACCGCGGGUAUAUAGUGUUUGUUUUAUGUAUGGGAGAAGUUUUUUUCUUACUCUCAACUUCGCGGGGGAACUUCGGCUCGAACAUCCAACCUAGGUUUGAUAUAACACAACCUGUGUGUUUGGUACCAUCAAGACAAAAAUAACACUGAUCGAGCAAAACUUAUCUUGUCUCGGUUUCUUUGUUGUCUCUGAAGAUUUGACUGCCAUAAAAAAUAUUAAUCGAGAUUCUUUUGUUAUGUUAAUUUAAAGCUUUGUAAUAUUGUCUCGUUUAAUAUGCUUAAAUGUCACUGCAGCCCACGUGAAUUUAUCUUCAAGAAAAGGUUUGUUUUUCUUUGUCCAAGUUGUUUCGAAACUUGUUAACAAUCAUUUGUUAUGAAACCAUGCACCAUCAGCAGUUUCGAAAAAUCUUCAACGAGAGAAAUUUUUAAGGAUUUUAUUGGUAACUUAACAGAGUAAUAAUUCAUUGAAAUUGAAAUUGUUCAGAAGUUAUUAUAUAUAUUCGAAUCGUGAAAAAAAUCCAGUUAAAGUUUUAACUAUUGUUUUAGAAUAUAUACUAUAUAUAUGUAAAAAAAAUUAUUUUUUAUUUAUCAAGUUGUAUUUUACGCAAUAAUAAUUGAGAAUUAGGAUA